GAAUUUUAGUAAAACUUUACUUGCGAGGUUACAGAAUACAUCAUGGGUAGAUUUCAUCAACCUAGUGCUUGACAACACAUUAUUCAGAAACUUAAAGCUAGAUGUUCUGUAUGACGGUGCAAGAGAUUUUAUUUUUCAGUCGAUGCUACUACUGCACUGGGCCCCUGUCUGGUUUACGUCAUCUGUUUGCAAACCGGUUUCUUCGCCAACCAUCACUAUCAAAAUGGAGAAUUUAGGCAACCAUUUUGUUUCUGUAGCCGUAAUUUCAAAUGACUUUUUUUAUGGCAUGCCCGAUUCACAAUGGUGCCCUUUAUACCUUUUAUGAUCAAUGACGUGGAAAAUGUCGUCGUUUUUCUUGAGUUACUUGAAAGUGUUAUUUUUGAGUUAACAAUUAUAAAAUACACGUAGUAAUUCCAAAAUACACGUAGUAAUUCCAAAAUAUAGUCUACGUAGUUCUUAUUUUAUUAUUCCCGAAGCU
Eurytemora carolleeae is the source of this 478-nucleotide long non-coding RNA. RefSeq lists it as uncharacterized. The record is from RefSeq and is a predicted model, not a curated record. The transcript has 3 exons. NCBI's taxonomy places the organism in Eukaryota, Metazoa, Arthropoda, Copepoda, Calanoida, Temoridae.